Molecule: ribosomal RNA, 520 nt
Filed under: uncultured bacterium
Lineage: Bacteria
Description: bacterial SSU rRNA
Rfam family: Bacterial small subunit ribosomal RNA
Source: RNAcentral
AGGAACAUACCCUUGGGUGGGGAAUAACGCCGGGAAACUGGUGCUAAUACCGCAUAAGCCCGCGAGGGGAAAGAUUUAUCGCCGAAGGAAUGGCCUAUAUCAGAUUAGAUAGUUGGUGGGGUAAAGGCCUACCAAGUCUGUGAUCUGUAGCUGAUCUGAGAGGAUGAUCAGCCACACUGGGACUGAGACACGGCCCAGACUCCUACGGGAGGCAGCAGUGGGGAAUAUUGGACAAUGGGGGAAACCCUGAUCCAGCAAUGCCGCGUGUAUGAUGAAGGUCUUCGGAUUGUAAAGUACUUUUAUGGAUGACGAUGAUGACGGUAAUCCAUGAAUAAGCUCCGGCUAACUUCGUGCCAGCAGCCGCGGUAAUACGAAGGGAGCUAGCGUUGUUCGGAAUAACUGGGCGUAAAGGGCGCGUAGGUGGGCGAGUGCGUUAGAUGUGAAAGCCCCGGGCUUAACCUGGGAAUGGCAUUUAAUACGGCUUGUCUUGAGUACGAGAGGGGAAAGCGGAAUGGCGAGU